This 433-nucleotide ribosomal RNA is filed under the name uncultured bacterium. RNAcentral's name for it is "partial 16S ribosomal RNA". It matches the Rfam family "Bacterial small subunit ribosomal RNA", at positions 29 to 507 of the family's 1533-position model. The record is from RNAcentral.
AGCGAACGCUGGCGGCAGGCUUAACACAUGCAAGUCGAACGGGCACUUCGGUGCUAGUGGCCGACGGGUGAGUAACACGUGGGAACGUACCUUUCGGUUCGGAAUAAUCCAGGGAAACUUGGACUAAUACCGGAUACGCCCUUCGGGGGAAAGAUUCAUCGCCGAUAGAUCGACCCGCGUCUGAUUAGCUAGUUGGUGAGGUAAUGGCUCACCAAGGCGACGAUCAGUAGCUGGUCUGAGAGGAUGAUCAGCCACAUUGGGACUGAGACACGGCCCAAACUCCUACGGGAGGCAGCAGUGGGGAAUAUUGGACAAUGGGCGCAAGCCUGAUCCAGCCAUGCCGCGUGAGUGAUGAAGGCCUUAGGGUUGUAAAGCUCUUUUGUCCGGGAAGAUAAUGACUGUACCGGAAGAAUAAGCCCCGGCUAACUUCGUG